Aquila chrysaetos chrysaetos is the source of this 1246-nucleotide long non-coding RNA. RefSeq lists it as uncharacterized. Lineage: Eukaryota; Metazoa; Chordata; Aves; Accipitriformes; Accipitridae. The record is from RefSeq and is a predicted model, not a curated record. The transcript is spliced from 4 exons.
GGAAUAAAGAGAAGCCAAAUUAAAUGUGUUAAAUGCUUAUCUUGUCAUGAUUAUGUGUUACUCUUCAUAGUAAUCCCAGUCUGUUUUCUGCAGGAGAAGCGGUUCUGUGAGAGUAAGGCAACAGUUGGUAAAUGUACAAACAAAUGGCUAGUUAGAUUAGCAAUGUUCAGAAAAUGUUUCUGUUGAAUCUGGCUCAUUCAAGAGGACAGAGUAAAGAGAAGAAUUUAAUUUUAUGCUUGGAUGGUAAGAGAUGAAUUUCAUCUUUGUGCAUGGAUGGAAGCAAACUCAACUUUGUGUCGCUGGCCUAAGAAGUGGCAUGUGGUUUUCUGGCACAUUCAGUGAGAUUUUCUAAAGAACUUGUGGCUACAUUUUCAAGGACCCGGCAACUACCAUCGGGGCCGGAGUUUUGAAGGCACUGUGAGCAAAGCAGCUUCCACUGGGACGGUUCAACUUGGCUUUUCUGACUUCCCCCGGAGGUAUGGCCCUCACUGUGUUACUAACUUCCUCCAGCUGUAAGAUGCAAUUAUCAAAUAUGUGAAACUUUUCAUAUUCCUUCAGUAAAUCAGCCUCCACGGACACAUACUCUCAGGAGCCUUUGGUCUCGUUACUCCUUCUGAAAAAAAAACCACUUUUCUUCCUGUAAUAAUUUCAUACAGGUGAGCAGUGGGAAUUCCAAAUCAUAUCUUAGUCUCUGCUGUGAACCAUUCAGGAUGAUGAAAAGCAUAGAAAUGAAGGUCCAAAGCAAUCUGUGUUGUAAUUUUGAAUGUAGUCUCCCCACUGUUCCUGGCACAAGCUUUUAGGCUGAACACCCACGUUUUCCAUUGCCUUCUGCUCAUACUGUAUUCUGCCUCUCCCCAAGAUGACUUGCUUCCAGUAAUGAACCAGUCAGAGCCUGGAACUUGAAACUCAAACUGAAUAAAAAGCUUGAGGAAAGGACGUAAAGCGAGUCAAAAGCGUCGCCUAAGUCGAGACACGCGGAAGCGCUGCCCAGCAGUGACUCCCACCGUGACAGGAAUGGCUUCUGUUGUGGUGAAUUGCAAAGAAAUGGCUCUGCUGGUGUAACGCUGGAACGGGCUGCAGCAGGGAAGUUACGCGCAGAAAGGAAUAAGUCAGCAGGACACUUGGACAGUCUUCUCCUUUACCUUACUGCCUAUAUUGCAAAAUAUGCAGGAGCCUGGUUAUCUUGGAGAUCUACACCCAUUUGCCAAAUUUUGUUAAAAUUGAACAGCAAGACCAAAACUUACUA